GCUGCAUCGGGCAGCAGAGAGAGGAAUUCCUAGCGUGGUUCGCCUGUGUUACCAUCUCGGAGGUCCUGUCCGGACCUUCGAGUGGCUCUGCUGAGAGAACUGGAAGAUUUCUGAUUGUAGCCCGAUAAGGAAAUAGCUGCCACUUAGAAGAUGUAACCGCUUUCAUUCGAGUAUUUUACCUAUCCCCGAAAUGCAAAUUUAUCCCUAAUUUCAAUAGUGAGUGGGCUGCUUCGUCAGAGAGGCCAAGGAAGGGCUGACUAAUAAAUAUACCCCAGAGAUAAAUUAUCCCCUCGAAUGAGGUUAUCAGCACUUAAAUUGUAGGAGCACUUUCGAGACAUGAAAAUAUAGGUAUGUGACAGAUAGAUAAUUGAUUAAAGCAGAGAAAAAAACAACACACACCACGAAACCGACGCAGAAGUGUUAUCCGUAGGUUACGACAGAAGCGCUAACUAUCUCCACGUUGGAAGAGAUGGCAAUUUGUCUUAGAAAAAUUCAACACUACGAAAAAAAAAAAAAAUUCCCCUGCAGUUGCUGUCGCUCGGAAUCGAUAGGAUAGCAGAAAAUGCCUGAUGCCUGUCACCGACGAACAGUGCUGCGGACCGCGACUGAAUCUGAAGGAAAUCAGAUGUGCGAGAGUGGUCGCAACGUGCUAAGCUAGAGGAGCUCGCCGGAGUUUAAACGCCGUCGCGAUGGGGAUGAGCUCGGUAGGGCGAGGAAGGAAGGAAACGGAGCCGAGCUGUCCGAGGGCGCGCCGGCAGCCUCCCCGCACCGACGGCACCUCCCGCGGCCCCGCGGCGCGCUCCCGCCGCCCUCCCCGGCCCACCCGCGGCACGGCCACGGCCACCGGUGCCCCAGCCCCGGCGGGGCCGGCGGGAGCAGCAGGAGAGAAACUAGAAAUUGCAUGGAGGAAGACCAGCUACCGAAAAACACUGGUGAAAAGGGAAAGAAAUACUUGGAUGGGAGAGAGGACACCAAAAGCAUGGACAGAGUUGGGAGCAAAUAACAGAAGAGAAAUGCUAAAUAGGAAGCUGACCGUGAAGAUCAUUCCCAGGAAACUUUGCUUAAAUAUUGAAAACAAAGAUGGAAAAUAUAAUACUGGAAAAAAAACUCCAACAUAUGAAUAGUAUGGUACUCCAAAAGUAACCUGCUGCUCUCUGCAAGGAGGCGAAUACUCAGCUGAAGGAUGGUGGGACUUUCACUCCUGCACCUUGUAAGACCCCUCUCAGCCACAGUUAACUUUCUUCUGCCUCUGCUAGGACUGUGGGUCAAAUCCAAAGAAGACAAAAUGCAAUGAACUGUUCUCUGGAGAUUUAAGGGCCAACUAUCAAGCACUGGACAAAAUUGUAAGCUGAGUAUUCUCUGCUAUAUGGAUAUCUAAGAGAAAUAUUUCAUGACAUUUCUGAGGAAAUAGGAAUUUUUCAGUUAUUUAUCUCCCAUGGAACCAAGACUUGGAGCAAAUUAAAUGCUACUUCUAUUCCCAAAAUUUAGGGCUCUAAGUUAAAUGAGCUCUUGAUCUGUGUUGCAGAAACCUUUGGUGACAAGGUUAAAAAACAAGGUUAAAAAUUUAAAAAGCCAUCAGAUAUGCCUGCUCCAUGACCCUACAGGAAUUGCAGUCAUUAGUCAUGUUGGACCAUGAAUCAUACAGAAGUCAUAUACCCAUAGAAAUACCACCAGGUAUCUUUACUGACAAUACCAUCCCAUGAGGACUACAGAUAGGCAUUUAGGUAGUUUAUCAAAGCCUAUGAGUAUGACAGGAUUGUUGUUGAACUCCCUACCAAUAACCAAAUACAUUUGGACUUUAGAAAGCAUGCUGAAUUCAUUAACAGGCAGUUAAUUAAUAGCAGUGGUGAGUUUGUGGAACAGCUACUGAUGUUUAAUAAGCUUUUUGUCUCUGACAGUUAUGGUAGCAUGUAUUAGCAGAGCCAUGAUAUAUCAGAUUCAGGUAGCAGGGUAUUACACAUAUUUCUUACUAAAUGGCUACUGUUGAAAUGGAAUCUAUCUUCAUUAAGCAAAAACACACCUGUUCUUUCAAUGCCCAUUGCAGGAUUAACAUUUACCACUGUUUUUUUCUGAUGUGUGCUGUAAAGAAAUGUAUGCUUUAGUACAUAAGAGGUCCAAAAGGCUAAAACAAGCUAUGGUCUAUGGAGAAGCUAGAGAGGGAAUUGCAUUUAGUACCAGACAACAGAAAAGUCAAUCGGGUCAAACUACUCUUCGUGUUAUUCACAGGCAGCUGGGUAACCACUUGUACUUUAGUCAUGUCCCUUCUCCCUCCCCACUCCUAAAACUUCAUUAUAACCAAGCCUUUAAGAGCAUUCCACCUCCCCACUUGAAAGAACAUGCACCUGCAUCAGGGUAUAGGUUUAACUUUCUAUGGGUAUUCAACAUGGAUUCUGAGCUGUUCUCAAGAAAGGACAGGUGCACAAAUAUGCACGUGCAAACACGCUGGGAAGCAGAAGGAAAAACUGUACAUCAUUAUUCAUCUCCCUUCUAUCUGGACUCAUGGGAAGAUGACAAGGAUUCAGAUCUUACAAUUUCAAUUAUUUAUUUCUGCUACUCACAUACAAUCUAAAUUCUAGGUGCUUCCUUCAACCAUGUUUUCUUCCUAAAGAAGUUUUUGGCAAUUAUAUUAUUUUUAUAAUUUAAUUCUUCUGAAGAAUGAAUGAAGUUUAAAUGUGCAACUUAACUUACGGUUGAGGAAUGUUAACAAAUUACAGAGUUGUUGGCUGGAUUAAUUAUUCUCCUUUUCAAGCUGCCUUCACAAAACUGCUUGACUCUGUGCAUAUUUAUAUACAUUUUCAUGCAAAAUGACAAUGGCUUCUAGGUUUUUGUAGAUCAACACAAAGCCAGGAAUUUUAUUUUGGCCUCAUAUUUGGUGCUGAUCUCUCUUUCUCUUCAAUUUUGUCUCUGUUUAACAAGAGAACUAAAACUUUUCCUUAUAUCAUUGUAUAAGCUAAAGGGUAGUUUCAUUUGCAACAAAAUUAUUAAGGGCAGAUAAAGGAGAGGGAGGGUGGCAAUUGUGAAGAACAAAAAAGGUUCACUAGAAAAUCUUUGAACCAAAAGGUGAUCUGCAUUAUCAAAGUCCCUGAGAACUCCGCUUUAUGGUUUAAUAUAUAUAACAAAAUUUAUAUAUAUAUAAAUAUCUAUCUUCCAGGCUUUUGUGAGUCUCAAUGCAACCUUAACAGUAAUACAGUUUUAUGUUUUAAUUUCCUUAAAGGAAAGUCUUCUUUGGAACCCAUGAAUGUUUCAGUGUUUUGGAAAUAUCUAAAUAGCUGUUAAAUAUCUAUAGAGACCUAUGAUUUUUUUUUAUCCCCUCAGCAAAUGUUUCAUGCAUUAUUUUGAGAAAAGGGACUAUAUGUACUGUAAAUAAUACAGAAAAAUACGUAUCUAUGCAUUAUCUGAUAAGCUGAAAUAGUUCUGUCUGUUAGUUAAUUAUCCAAAUACUAAAGAAAAGUUAGGCUAAUGAUUUCCAGACAGUUGUUAUGCCAUAUCAUGUUAAAGCAGCUGUUAACCAUAUGCACUACUGUAGCUCUGCUUAUAUUAACCAUUAUGAAAUUUUCCUUGGGGAAAAGUGCUCACGUGCUUGCAGAGAACCUCUUUGCCCUCUUUUAAAUGAAAUAAGUUGGUUAUUCUUAGAGCAUGGUGAAUAAUUUGUAACAAAUCAUUCGGUGAUUUUCUCCUGCUUGUGAAUAGAGAUUAUGUUUUUCCAAAGCCACCAUGCACCUAAGGAACUGAAGUCUCACAAGUGGUUUGAGACAUGUCUGUGGCUUGCAAUGGAGCAGUGGGGAGCACUGGGAGAGCUCUCUCCAGGACUGGCACUGGUGUAAUUGCACCAGUGCAGCGCUGAGCUCUGCUGUCUGCAUGGCUUUGGGAUGCAAGGCCACAUCUCCUACCAGCACGACACUGUGUUGCACCAGCCUGUCAGCUCAUCUGAUGGCAAUCCUUGACACUACUACACCGGUCUUUUGCACAGGGAGACAGCCUUGUAGUGGGAUAGGAUUUCAUCUGAAUUUGAGAGAGAGAGAGAGAGAGAGAGAGAGAGAGAGAGAGAGAGAGGGAUCUGUGAAUUCCUAGGGGCUUAUGGCAGCAAAUAUUAUAGUGAAAACCACCAGAGAAACAAGAUUUAUGGACAGAGGUAGUCUCUUUUAUUAGGCUGACUAAUAUAGUUGGAAAAAACAGACAAGGCUUUGGGUCAAAAACACUUUUACAGGUCCAAGAUAGAAGCAUAUCUUGAGGACAGCUUGUGUGCAUGGCAGCUUGGCAGCUUUUUUUUUUUUUUCUUCCAGUUAGAACAGCUACAGCAUGAGGCAUUGUGCUUUAAUCAUAAACAUUGCUUGACUUUUCUUAAAUUAUAAAAAUGAUAAGAUGACAUACACCUAUCACCAGUUUAAUGAGUAUCUACCAUCAUUCUCAUCAA
Cygnus olor (mute swan) is the source of this 4414-nucleotide long non-coding RNA. RefSeq lists it as uncharacterized. The transcript has 5 exons. The record is from RefSeq and is a predicted model, not a curated record. Lineage: Eukaryota; Metazoa; Chordata; Aves; Anseriformes; Anatidae.